UCGACGCGCCGCGCGCCGCGGACGCCGUCGCGCGACGCGAGCGACCGUCGCGCGCGUGGGAGUGGCGCGAACCGGGCUUCGUUCGUCGGACGGCGAACGUCAGUCGUCGUCGCGCGGCGCGACGCGCGGCGCGACGCGCGGAGGCGAUCGUUCGACGCGAAAAAAUGUUUCGGUGCGUUCGACGCGCGCGAGGGCGCGUCGAGGACGUCGCGCGAGGUGGACGAGGGGUGAAUGCGGCGACGCGCGAACGCAUCCGCGCCGCCGGACGACGCGCGAAUGAACGGCGUGACGACCACACAUGCCGCCCCAGUCAGACGACGUUUCGGCGUACGUGGUGAUUGGUUUAAGUAUACAGUCAUGCACGCAUGAUCGGACCGUUCGUUCGCGACGUCGGCGCGGAAGGGGCGCGAGGAUGGAGAGGUGGAGAUGGAGGCGGCGACGACGCGGCGGCGCGGCGGCGCGGCGCGUUUUUCGUUCGUUCGUUCGUUCGUCAUCUGAGCUCGGGAACGCGCGAUGCGCGUCGUGAAGAAUCGCGAGGAAGAUCGAACGCUAUUAACCCAGCUCGCUUUGAGCCUCGGCUUUGAAGAGACUUGUUCCAAACUACACGACAAUUGUCUGAGCGAAAUUCGCGCCGACCCGCGCGCGGGAACGAGGAAGAUGACGAACGGACGAAUGAAUGCAUCGAUGAACGCGGGAGAUGAGACGGGAUGAAGUUUGUUUGUUUCGCGCACUGACGUUGGAUUCGGUCGUCGCGAAUUCGCGAAAUCGCAGAGAACGAACGCGCUCGGAGACGCAGAGGCGGGUGGACGUUUGUUUGGUUAAAUGAGGUGCGUCUCGGACGUUCUUGUGUUUUCUCUCUUCUUCGCCGAAAAGCGAAUCGUUACGGAAAUGAGGACCUCUCUUUCCCCAAUUGAUCGAAGAUGAAAAGCAUAUAGAAGGCCGGUGCCACCGGCUAUACUUGCCAGUAUUAUCUGAUCCGUCAACGAUUCGCCGAACGCAUUCGGCGAAGAAUGGUUUUUCUUUUUUCUGUGACCGAACGAGGGACGACGCGGACGACGACGCGGGCGCGACGAGCGCGCCCAAAGAUUCUCUGGGGCGUCGCGCGAGUGGAGAUGAGGAAAUUGAUGGUCCGUGUUUACGAAUUACGGUGAUGAGACAACAAACAUCGGGUGUGACAACCCAGUUCCGAUCUGUUUACGUUCUCGAAGGCCCCCAUUGGUCGAUGCGUCGUCAUCGUCGUCCACGUUAUUCGCGUUUUCACAUCACUCGUUUGUUUGCUUCGCUAAGUUGGGCACUUUACUCCGUCAGUGUUUCUUUGCCCCGUUCCCUAGAAGCUAGAACGAUAGGUCGGCCCGUUGAAUCGAAGCUUCGGGUUCGGUCGCGCAACUGGUUUCUCGCUAUGUUUAUUCGCUGCUUACCGCGGGUAAAUACAUUGAGGCCAGACAUCUAUCGAUGCAUUUACGAUGACCAUUUCGUCGCGCGGGAUCGCCGAGUGGUUUGCGGGCUGUUACUUCAGGCAGCCGGGCGUGGAAUCCCAUCCAUGUUUGGCGUUAAUCAGCCCGUAAAGUAACGAGCUCGCAUUCUGAGCGGCCGCGGGGAAGUUACUUACUAUCUCGGCCCCGAUGCAGUUUGCUCUGGAAACCGGGCUUACACCUACUUCUGCCUUACCUCUGUUUUCGAAUCUCUCAUCUCGCGCGUUUUCUCGGUCACUCACCGAGUUGUUUAAUUUUCCCAUCGCAGAAAUCGCUAGCGUCGAGCUUUCCAAGACGACGCGAGCGUACACGGGUAGAAGUUUUAUAGGUGCGUGCAUCGUCGAACGGCGCGAAUGUUUCGUUUAUUUUCUAUGGAUGCGCGUCAUGGCGAGAGUGAUGAAAUGGUGAUGAUUGCGAUGAUUAUAACCUCGAGGCUGUUUGUUAGAAGGCCAUGUGCCUGUGCGCUCAAUCACUUCAAAAACGACUUCUCCUUUCGCUGAGCAAUCAUCACUUCAAUGUUAAGAACUCUCGUCGGCACAGCCGAUGAUGCAGCAAUUUCGUGUGCAGCGCAGUACGUCGUCGGGGAAUCUGGAUUUCCAGGCGAACCUUCCUCGAUCGCGGCGUAUGAGAAUCCGUUCUCGGCUUGGCACAAAUCGCGCGGUUACGCCGCUGUCUGAGGCUUGUCGCUGACCAUCUUUUUUCUUUACUCGUGGCGAACAAAUUUCACCAUACUGACCCCGAUCGUUUGGGUUUGCGCUCCACUCAGUACACAUAGGAUAUAGACGGUUAGAUGCAUAGAUGAUUAGAGAUUUGGUUACGACUCGAGCGCGAACGACUUCGCGAGCGGCGCAAGGACAUGACGAAAUACCAUUGUUUCACGACGGUCUUCUGAUGCCUCGGUUUUGAUGACUUGCAUGGUGCUAGUACUCCGAUCCUUUCUGUCGCUCGCACGUCGUUCGUACGACGAAUCAUUAGCGCGCGCGCGCACCGUUUGUAAAAAUAACGUCGCGCACAAAAAAACUUGUCUGGCAAUUUAGCGCAAAGC
Molecule: long non-coding RNA, 2517 nt
Filed under: Ostreococcus sp. 'lucimarinus'
Lineage: Eukaryota; Viridiplantae; Chlorophyta; Mamiellophyceae; Mamiellales; Bathycoccaceae
Description: long non-coding RNA (OLUC_LNC000051)
Source: RNAcentral